This 1040-nucleotide long non-coding RNA is filed under the name Sinocyclocheilus grahami. RNAcentral's name for it is "lncRNA (ENSSGRG00000014615.1)". The record is from RNAcentral. Lineage: Eukaryota; Metazoa; Chordata; Actinopteri; Cypriniformes; Cyprinidae.
GUGUGUGUGUUUCUAUAGUGUAAAGUGUAACGUUUAUGAGACAGACAGCGAGGGCUACAAGGUUUCAGUUUAAAACUAUGAGCUCAGCAACAACAUUAGAUAAUGGGGGGAAUCCCAAGUUUGGUCAAGUGGAAAUUACUUUCUCUACCAAACAUCUUUUUUAAAUUAACUGCAUGUGUAUAACAUUUAAACAAGAUUAAGAUGCCAUGUUAAAAAUAAAAACCUUGAAAGACAGCUGAGAACCACCGCAACAUUGUAUUUUCUUUCAUUUUAGGCGAAAGAGUCCCGCAAUAACACAACAGAGACCAAAUUCAAACCUAGAAAAAGCUGGCAAAAACAAACAAAUGACAAAACACACGGAUAACACAACGUGAAUGUGAACAGCCAGCACAACUACACGCGCUCGCACUUAACGAGAAAAUAAACGUGCAGCUGCGUCUUUAUUAUUUGAAUAACACCAAGCCUCAUGGCUACUACAAUCAAGACAUGUGACUGGAGAUUUGGAUAAAAUAUCUUACCAGGCACAACAAAAACCGAUAGCGAUAGAAAACGAACAAAAACAUCUUUAAUCCAGAGCAUCGCGCUGACUCGUCUAGGUGAAUUUCACAGUGUUUACAAGUUUACCACCUCUACUUCCCUACUGUGUAUCGAUGACAUCAACCACUCUUGCUCGCUCGUGCUAGGGAAUUCCCCACUUCCUCAAACCAGAGCUACAAAGAGCAAGAGUCGUAUAAAUUCAACGCGUGGCCAUCAAGCUACAGUCAGAACCAUGCCUUACUUCUCGGAAUUCGUCGCCUGUCUUGUAAUUUUAGCUGUGACGGAGGGAGUCCGGCACGAGAUUCGUUUCAUCCGUGGUGAGGACGCAGUCUUGAGCUGUGCGGCGAAAUCAAAGCCCGCCGUCCGGUACCGUUCGGUCACAUGGUACAAGGUAAAGGUCAAAAUUCGUAUAUUUUUCUAGAACCUUGCGUUUUAUCCUCACAUAUGAAUGUUUUGUACUAGGUGUUUCAAUAACCACUGCAACUCAAGUUUUCUUUUUUUUU